RNAcentral lists this ribosomal RNA (346 nucleotides) under uncultured bacterium. RNAcentral's name for it is "bacterial SSU rRNA". It matches the Rfam family "Bacterial small subunit ribosomal RNA", at positions 1 to 334 of the family's 1533-position model. The record is from RNAcentral.
CUAGCGACUUCAGAGUUUGAUCCUGGCUCAGGAUAAACGCUGGCGGCGCACAUAAGACAUGCAAGUCGAACGAACUUAACCUUUAGUUUACUAUUGGAGCGGUUAGUGGCGGACUGGUGAGUAACACGUAAGCAACCUGCCUAUCAGAGGGGAAUAACAGUUAGAAAUGACUGCUAAUACCGCAUAUGCCUUGAGUAACACAUGUUACAAAAGGGAAAGGAGCAAUCCGCUGAUAGAUGGGCUUGCGUCUGAUUAGAUAGUUGGUGGGGCAACGGCCUACCAAGUCGACGAUCAGUAGCCGGACUGAGAGGUUGAACGGCCACAUUGGGACUGAGAUACGGCCCAG